This 21-nucleotide non-coding RNA is filed under the name Arabidopsis thaliana (thale cress). Lineage: Eukaryota; Viridiplantae; Streptophyta; Magnoliopsida; Brassicales; Brassicaceae. The record is from RNAcentral.
CUCAUUGGUGAUACUUUGAGG